CCCAAAAAUAAACGUCCCAGUUCGGAUUGCAGGCUGCAACCCGCCUGCAUGAAGCUGGAAUCGCUAGUAAUCGCGGAUCAGAAUGCCGCGGUGAAUACGUUCCCGGGUCUUGUACACACCGCCCGUCACACCAUGGGAGUCGGUAACGCCCGAAGUCAGUGACCCAACCGGAAGGAGGGAGCUGCCGAAGGCGGGACUGGUAACUGGGGUGAAGUCGUAACAAGGUAAC
This 229-nucleotide ribosomal RNA is filed under the name uncultured bacterium. RNAcentral's name for it is "partial 16S ribosomal RNA". It matches the Rfam family "Bacterial small subunit ribosomal RNA", at positions 1272 to 1500 of the family's 1533-position model. The record is from RNAcentral.